AGUGAACGCUGGCGGCAUGCCUAACACAUGCAAGUCGAACGGAAAGACAGUAAGAGCUUUCCUCUACGGGUGGAGAGGGGAGGGAGAGUGAGGAAUACAUCGGAACCCUCUUUGUCGAGGGUGGUAAAGUGGGGCAAAUACCGCUAAUGACCCAUAUGAAGUACGGGUGGAAGCAAGGGUUCUUGGGGUCUUGUGCGCUCGAAGCCGAUGAUGUGGGUUUUGCUAGUAGGGGGGGUAAAGGCCCCCCAUGGCGACGAUACGUAGCCGGUCUGCGAGGAUGAACCGCCACACUGGGACUGGGACACGGUCCAGACUCCUACGGGAGGCGGCAGUGGGGAAUAGUGGACGAUGGGCGCAAGCCUGAUCCAGCCAUACCGCGUUGAUGAAGAAGGCCUUCGGGUUGUAAAACCCUUUUGUUGUGGAAGAAAAGUAGCGGGAUAAUCCCCCGCUGUUCUGACGGUACCCAAAGAAUAAGCACCGGCUAACUACGUG
Molecule: ribosomal RNA, 492 nt
Filed under: uncultured bacterium
Lineage: Bacteria
Description: partial 16S ribosomal RNA
Rfam family: Bacterial small subunit ribosomal RNA
Source: RNAcentral